Molecule: long non-coding RNA, 1544 nt
Organism: Erinaceus europaeus (western European hedgehog)
Lineage: Eukaryota; Metazoa; Chordata; Mammalia; Eulipotyphla; Erinaceidae
Exons: 3
Source: RefSeq, a predicted model, not a curated record
UGAGAGAAAAGACCAGAGCACUGGUCAGCUUUGGAUCUAGUGGUGCAGAAAUUGAACAUGCAAAUCUGAUGCACUGUUGUUGGAAUAUCUCACUUUUAAAUUCCACAAGUCCCCCCCUUUUUUUAUUGCCACUGGGGUUAUUGCUGACGCUGGGUGUCAGCACUGCAAAUCCUCCAUUGCUCCCAGGGACCAUUCACCCCCCUUUUUUUUCCUUUCUUUCUUUCUUUCUUUCUUUCUUUCUUUCUUUCUUUCUUUCUCUCUCUCUCUUUCUCUCUUUCUUCCUUCCUUUCUAGUUUUUAUCAGGUAGGACAGAGAGAAACUUCCAGCGCCAUCCACUUUGUCCCACGUAACGCAAUGCCAUCUUUUUAGUGACCAAGUAGUGUUCCAUUGAAUAGAUUGCCCCUAAGUUCUUUAUCCAGCCAUGUGCGGAUGGCUAUUUAGGUUAGUUCUAUAGAGAAACCAUAAUUUGAACAAUAGAUUGAUGACAGUUCUGGUGUCUUUAAAAAUUGAUGUCUUCAAUGAAAAUCCUCAGUGGGUAUUUGCCAAAUGACAAGAUAUAUGCACAUACACUGGAAAGAUGGUCAUAAAAUAGAUAAACUAUCAUUCCAAGUUAUGGAAGAAUGUUACAGACAAAACAAAAUCCACUACCCACAUGGUUUCAACAGCGGUACUCUUCACAUUCCAGUCAUACGAAGUCACAACCACCUUUUAAGCCAAAGCCAAUGGACACAUAAAGCUAAUCUUUGCUUAAUGCAUCUGAAGCAUCAGGUGAAGCCUAUCCUAGGCACCUACUUAUUUUAUAUCAUUUACUACUCAUAAAAAUGCCAUCAUUCCUAGCUCACUGAUGAGGAAAUUAAGAUACAGAGACAUUAAGAAACAUGCCCAAGGUUUUAGAACUAAAGCGGCAUUCAUAUCUACUAUGAAAAUGUAGGAUUUCCACAUACUUUUUCAUCUACUUUUCUCAGGAUCCAGUUCAAGUAUUUAUUAGAUGAUCAAUAGGUGUGAGGUAACGUAUUUCAUCAACUGCCUGCCCCUCUGAGGAGAAGAGCCCUUCAGACCAGAAAGCUAAUAACAGUAAGCACUAGAAGGUGCCUAUCACUUAUGUGUGACAAUCUGACGUCUCUGCUCAAACAUAAACAUCAAAAAGAGACUUUUCUUGACCACACAGCACAGUGACAUCCAUCUCUGUCACCCUCCUUGCCCUGACUAGUAUGUACACAUUGAUUCAUUUAUUCGUUGUCUGACCUCCCCACUAGAGUGUAAAUGCUGCCAGAACAGAAUCUUUGUUCACUCUUGUAUUAAUAGUGACUUGAACGUAGUUAGUACUUAAUAGAGAUGUUUCAAAGACUGGAGUGACAUUGAGCACCUGUUCUGUGUCAGGUGCGGUGCCAGAUGUCAGUCAGAGAGCAAAGAAGCACACUUGCUCAGCAAUGGGCCCGCGAGUAGAUGACUGGAUGGAACUAGAAUCGAAGAGAGUCUUAGACGCAGGCUUUUCUCUCCUCUCCUCCCUUCUGUUCAUCAAUAAAUCAAAAAGGAUGUUUAUC